Molecule: ribosomal RNA, 402 nt
Filed under: uncultured bacterium
Lineage: Bacteria
Description: bacterial SSU rRNA
Rfam family: Bacterial small subunit ribosomal RNA
Source: RNAcentral
UGGGGAAUAUUGGACAAUGGGGGCAACCCUGAUCCAGCCAUGCCGCGUGAGUGAAGAAGGCCUUAGGGUUGUAAAGCUCUUUCAACGGUGAAGAUGAUGACGGUAGCCGUAGAAGAAGCCCCGGCUAACUCCGUGCCAGCAGCCGCGGUAAUACGGAGGGGGCAAGCGUUGUUCGGAAUUACUGGGCGUAAAGGGCGUGUAGGCGGCGCAUUGCGUCAGGUGUGAAAGCCCCGGGCUCAACCUGGGAGGUGCACUUGAUACGGAUGUGCUUGAGACCGGGAGAGGUGAGCGGAAUUCCCAGUGUAGAGGUGAAAUUCGUAGAUAUUGGGAAGAACACCAGUGGCGAAGGCGGCUCACUGGCCCGGUUCUGACGCUGAGGCGCGAAAGCGUGGGGAGCAAACA